CGGACGGGUGAGUAACACGUGGGUAACCUGCCCGUAAGACUGGGAUAACUCCGGGAAACCGGGGCUAAUACCGGAUAAUAUUUUGAACUGCAUGGUUCGAAAUUGAAAGGCGGCUUCGGCUGUCACUUAUGGAUGGACCCGCGUCGCAUUAGCUAGUUGGUGAGGUAACGGCUCACCAAGGCAACGAUGCGUAGCCGACCUGAGAGGGUGAUCGGCCACACUGGGACUGAGACACGGCCCAG
RNAcentral lists this ribosomal RNA (242 nucleotides) under uncultured Bacillus sp. RNAcentral describes it as "partial 16S ribosomal RNA". It matches the Rfam family "Bacterial small subunit ribosomal RNA", at positions 99 to 334 of the family's 1533-position model. The record is from RNAcentral. Lineage: Bacteria; Bacillati; Bacillota; Bacilli; Caryophanales; Bacillaceae.